UACGUAGGGUGCGAGCGUUAAUCGGAAUUACUGGGCGUAAAGCGUGCGUAGGCGGUUCGUUAAGUUCGUUGUGAAAGCCCCGGGCUCAACCUGGGAAUGGCAAUGGAUACUGGCAGGCUAGAGUGCGGUAGAGGGUAGUGGAAUUCCCGGUGUAGCGGUGAAAUGCGUAGAGAUCGGGAGGAACACCAGUGGCGAAGGCGGCUACCUGGACCAGCACUGACACUGAGGCACGAAAGCGUGGGGAGCAAACAGG
Molecule: ribosomal RNA, 253 nt
Filed under: uncultured bacterium
Lineage: Bacteria
Description: partial 16S ribosomal RNA
Rfam family: Bacterial small subunit ribosomal RNA
Source: RNAcentral